UACGUAGGGUGCAAGCGUUGUCCGGAAUUAUUGGGCGUAAAGAGCUCGUAGGCGGCUUGGUAGGUCCGCUGUGAAAACUCGAGGCUCAACCUCGAGAUGUCGGCGGAAACCACUUGGCUAGAGUCCGGAAGAGGAGAGUGGAAUUCCUGGUGUAGCGGUGAAAUGCGCAGAUAUCGGGAGGAACACCCGUAGCGAAGGCGGCACUCUGGGCCGUGACUGACGCUGAGGAGCGAAAGCGUGGGGAGCAAACAGG
RNAcentral lists this ribosomal RNA (253 nucleotides) under uncultured bacterium. RNAcentral describes it as "partial 16S ribosomal RNA". It matches the Rfam family "Bacterial small subunit ribosomal RNA", at positions 524 to 776 of the family's 1533-position model. The record is from RNAcentral.